AACAAACGCUGGCGGCGUGCCUAAUACAUGCAAGUCGAACGGGGAAAGCUUUCGGGUGAGUACUAGUGGCGCACGGGUGAGUAACGCGUGGAUAAUCUGCCUUAGAGUGGGGGAUAACUAGUCGAAAGAUUAGCUAAUACCGCAUAAGACCACACUAGCUGCGGCUAGAGGGGUUAAAGGUUUUUCGCUCAUAGAUGAGUCCGCGUGAGAUUAGCUAGUUGGUGGGGUAAUGGCCU
This 236-nucleotide ribosomal RNA is filed under the name uncultured bacterium. RNAcentral's name for it is "partial 16S ribosomal RNA". It matches the Rfam family "Bacterial small subunit ribosomal RNA", at positions 29 to 266 of the family's 1533-position model. The record is from RNAcentral.